UAAUACGUAGGAGGCAAACGUUAUCCGGAAUUACUGGGCGUAAAGCGCACGCAGGCGGCUUCGUAAGUCCGACGUGAAAGCUCCUGGCUUAACUGGGAGAGGCCGUUGGAUACUGCGAAGCUCGAGGUUAGGAGAGGAAAGUGGAAUUCCCGGUGUAGUGGUGGAAUGCGUAGAUAUCGGGAGGAACCCCAGUGGCGAAAGCGACUUUCUAGCCUACACCUGACGCUGAGGUGCGAAAGCGUGGGGAGCGAACAGG
RNAcentral lists this ribosomal RNA (256 nucleotides) under uncultured bacterium. Its description in RNAcentral is "partial 16S ribosomal RNA". It matches the Rfam family "Bacterial small subunit ribosomal RNA", at positions 521 to 776 of the family's 1533-position model. The record is from RNAcentral.